AGAGAGAGAUAAUGGGAGGAGGAGGAGGUGAGGAGGGUGAUAGACUGACAGAAGAGAGUGAGCACACAAACAGGCAAUUGUAUGGAUGGAGUACCUUUGCGGGGUGCGUGCUCACUUCUCUUCUGUCAUCUCAAAUUGAUCUUAUCUCCUCCUCCUCCUCCUUUGAUCUUAUCUCCUCUCU
Molecule: microRNA precursor, 181 nt
Filed under: Linum usitatissimum (flax)
Lineage: Eukaryota; Viridiplantae; Streptophyta; Magnoliopsida; Malpighiales; Linaceae
Description: miR156a stem-loop (lus-MIR156a)
Gene: lus-MIR156a
Source: miRBase by way of RNAcentral